RNAcentral lists this unclassified non-coding RNA (240 nucleotides) under soil metagenome. RNAcentral's name for it is "partial contains 5.8S ribosomal RNA, internal transcribed spacer 2, and large subunit ribosomal RNA". The record is from RNAcentral.
AACCAUAGAAACCUGCGGAGUACCUGCGGAAGGAUCAUUACAGAGUUGCAAAACUCCCUAAACCAUUGUGAACGUUACCUAAACCGUUGCUUCGGCGGGCGGCCCGGGUCCUUCCCGGCGCCCCUCGGCCCUCGCGGGCGCCCGCCGGAGGUAAACCAAACUAUUGCAUUGUAUGGCCUCUCUGAGUCUUCUGUACUGAAUAAGUCAAAACUUUCAACAACGGAUCUCAGAUCGGAAGAG